This 499-nucleotide ribosomal RNA is filed under the name uncultured bacterium. Its description in RNAcentral is "partial 16S ribosomal RNA". It matches the Rfam family "Bacterial small subunit ribosomal RNA", at positions 28 to 507 of the family's 1533-position model. The record is from RNAcentral.
GACGAACGCUGGCGGCGUGCCUAAUACAUGCAAGUCGAGCGGACCGAACAGGAGCUUGCUCUUGUUCGGUUAGCGGCGGACGGGUGAGUAACACGUGGGUAACCUGCCCGUAAGACCGGGAUAACUCCGGGAAACCGGAGCUAAUACCGGAUAACACCGAAGACAGCAUGGUCUUUGGUUGAAAGGCGGCUUCGGCUGCCACUUACGGAUGGGCCCGCGGCGCAUUAGCUAGUUGGCGAGGUAACGGCUCACCAAGGCGACGAUGCGUAGCCGGCCUGAGAGGGUGACCGGCCACCCUGGGACUGAGACACGGCCCAGGCUCCUACGGGAGGCAGCAGGAGGGAAUCUUCCGCAAUGGACGAAAGUCUGACGGAGCGACGCCGCGGGGGCGAAGAAGGUCUUCGGAUCGGAAAGCUCUGUUGUUAGGGAAGAAGAAGCGUCGUGCGAACAGGGCGGCGCGGUGACGGUACCUAACGAGAAAGCCCCGGCUAACUACGUG